GCACAAGCGGCGGAGCAUGUGGAUUAAUUCGAUGCAACGCGAAGAACCUUUACCUGGGUUUGACAUGCACAGGACGACUGCAGAGAUGUGGUUUUCCCUUGUGGCCUGUGUGCAGGUGGUGCAUGGCUGUCGUCAGCUCGUGUCGUGAGAUGUUGGGUUAAGUCCCGCAACGAGCGCAACCCUUGUCUCAUGUUGCCAGCACGUAAUGGUGGGGACUCGUGAGAGACUGCCGGGGUCAACUCGGAGGAAGGUGGGGAUGACGUCAAGUCAUCAUGCCCCUUAUGUCCAGGGCUUCACACAUGCUACAAUGGCCGGUACAAAGGGCUGCGAUGCCGUGAGGUGGAGCGAAUCCUUGUUAAAGCCGGUCUCAGUUCGGAUCGGGGUCUGCAACUCGACCCCGUGAAGUCGGAAUCGCUAGUAAUCGCGGAUCAGCACGCCGCGGUGAAUACGUUCCCGGGCCUU
This 462-nucleotide ribosomal RNA is filed under the name uncultured Mycobacterium sp. Its description in RNAcentral is "bacterial SSU rRNA". It matches the Rfam family "Bacterial small subunit ribosomal RNA", at positions 923 to 1382 of the family's 1533-position model. Lineage: Bacteria; Bacillati; Actinomycetota; Actinomycetes; Mycobacteriales; Mycobacteriaceae. The record is from RNAcentral.